UAGGGAAUCUUCCGCAAUGGACGAAAGUCUGACGGAGCAAUGCCGCGUGAGUGAAGAAGGUUUUCGGAUCGUAAAACUCUGUUGUUAGAGAAGAACAAGGAUGAGAGUAACUGCUCAUCCCCUGACGGUAUCUAACCAGAAAGCCACGGCUAACUACGUGCCAGCAGCCGCGGUAAUACGUAGGGAGCAAGCGAUAUCCGGAUUUACUGGGCGUAAAGCGUCUGCAGGUGGUUUCUUAAGUCUACUGUU
This 249-nucleotide ribosomal RNA is filed under the name uncultured Carnobacterium sp. RNAcentral's name for it is "partial 16S ribosomal RNA". It matches the Rfam family "Bacterial small subunit ribosomal RNA", at positions 355 to 596 of the family's 1533-position model. The record is from RNAcentral. Lineage: Bacteria; Bacillati; Bacillota; Bacilli; Lactobacillales; Carnobacteriaceae.